UACGGAGGGUGCAAACGUUGCUCGGAAUCAUUGGGCGUAAAGCGCACGUAGGCGGACCGCUAAGUCGGAUGUGAAAGCCCUCGGCUUAACCGAGGAAGUGCAUUCGAAACUGACAGUCUUGAGUAUGGAAGAGGGUCGCGGAAUUCCCGGUGUAGAGGUGAAAUUCGUAGAUAUUGGGAAGAACACCGAUGGCGAAGGCAGCCAUCUGGACCGACACUGACGCUGAGGCGCGAAAGCGUGGGGAGCAAACAGG
This 253-nucleotide ribosomal RNA is filed under the name uncultured bacterium. RNAcentral describes it as "partial 16S ribosomal RNA". It matches the Rfam family "Bacterial small subunit ribosomal RNA", at positions 524 to 776 of the family's 1533-position model. The record is from RNAcentral.